Non-coding RNA from Paramuricea clavata, 138 nucleotides. Lineage: Eukaryota; Metazoa; Cnidaria; Anthozoa; Malacalcyonacea; Plexauridae. The record is from the annotation of a GenBank genome assembly.
UUAUUGAUCUUUUGUUAUUACAGGAGGAAAGUUAUACUCGUACAACAAACGCGGCAUUUUAAAAAAUUAUAAUUUUUUAAAAUGCCGCGUUUGUUGUACGAGUAUAACUUUCCUCCUGUAAUAACAAAAGAUCAACAU